Molecule: ribosomal RNA, 446 nt
Filed under: Klebsiella planticola
Lineage: Bacteria; Pseudomonadati; Pseudomonadota; Gammaproteobacteria; Enterobacterales; Enterobacteriaceae
Description: bacterial SSU rRNA
Rfam family: Bacterial small subunit ribosomal RNA
Source: RNAcentral
AAAUUGAAGAGUUUGAUCAUGGCUCAGAUUGAACGCUGGCGGCAGGCCUAACACAUGCAAGUCGAGCGGUAGCACAGAGAGCUUGCUCUCGGGUGACGAGCGGCGGACGGGUGAGUAAUGUCUGGGAAACUGCCUGAUGGAGGGGGAUAACUACUGGAAACGGUAGCUAAUACCGCAUAACGUCGCAAGACCAAAGUGGGGGACCUUCGGGCCUCAUGCCAUCAGAUGUGCCCAGAUGGGAUUAGCUAGUAGGUGGGGUAAUGGCUCACCUAGGCGACGAUCCCUAGCUGGUCUGAGAGGAUGACCAGCCACACUGGAACUGAGACACGGUCCAGACUCCUACGGGAGGCAGCAGUGGGGAAUAUUGCACAAUGGGCGCAAGCCUGAUGCAGCCAUGCCGCGUGUAUGAAGAAGGCCUUCGGGUUGUAAAGUACUUUCAGCGAGGA